This 385-nucleotide ribosomal RNA is filed under the name uncultured bacterium. RNAcentral's name for it is "bacterial SSU rRNA". It matches the Rfam family "Bacterial small subunit ribosomal RNA", at positions 370 to 772 of the family's 1533-position model. The record is from RNAcentral.
AAUGGGGGAAACCCUGAUCCAGCGAUGCCGCGUGAAUGAUGAAGGCCUAUGGGUUGUAAAGUUCUUUCGUCUGUGAAGAUAAUGACGGUAACAGAAAAAGAAGCCCCGGCUAACUCCGUGCCAGCAGCCGCGGUAAGACGGAGGGGGCAAGCGUUGCUCGGAAUAACUGGGCGUAAAGGGUGCGUAGGCGGUUUUUUAAGUGAAAUGUUAAAAAUUUGGGCUCAACCUAAGGAGUGCAUUUCAUACUGAAAGACUUGAGUGUGAGAGAGGAAACAGGAAUUCCUCAUGUAGAGGUGAAAUUCGUAGAUAUGAGGAGGAACACCAGAGGCGAAGGCGAGUUUCUGGAUCACUACUGACGCUGAGGCACGAAAGCGUGGGGAGCAAA